UAGCACAUUUCAUGUUUAAUUUCUUGGUAAGAGCUGAGAUAUUUCUGAUGCGCUAGAUAAACCUUGGAGGUAAAUUAGCAGAGUUGGCCAGUCUGUGCCAACCCUGCACAUCCCCUUUCAUACAUCC
Small nucleolar RNA from Hucho hucho (huchen), 127 nucleotides. The record is from Ensembl. Lineage: Eukaryota; Metazoa; Chordata; Actinopteri; Salmoniformes; Salmonidae.